This 254-nucleotide ribosomal RNA is filed under the name uncultured bacterium. RNAcentral's name for it is "partial 16S ribosomal RNA". It matches the Rfam family "Bacterial small subunit ribosomal RNA", at positions 524 to 776 of the family's 1533-position model. The record is from RNAcentral.
UACGUAGGCAGCAAGCGUUGUUCGGAGUUACUGGGCGUCAAGGGUGUGUAGGCGGUUGUUUAAGUUUGGUGUGAAAUCUCCCGGCUCAACUGGGAGGGUGCGCCGAAUACUGAAUGACUUGGAGUGCGGGAGAGGAAAGUGGAAUUCCUGGUGUAGCGGUGAAAUGCGUAGAUAUCAGGAGGAACACCGGUGGUGUAGACGGCUUUCUGGACCGUAACUGACGCUGAGACACGAAAGCGUGGGUAGCAAACAGG